CUUCCAUUUGAUGAACCUGGAGCAGUUACUAUCUGCUGCUAAAGUUUCUAUUAUAUUACCAAUGCAAGAAAAAAAGUGUCCUUGAGCUUUCUGUCUGAUUGUGGCAGCCAAGAUUGAAUAGAGGAGUAAUGGU
This 133-nucleotide small nucleolar RNA is filed under the name Gorilla gorilla gorilla (western lowland gorilla). Its description in RNAcentral is "Small nucleolar RNA SNORA31 (ENSGGOG00000035422.2)". Lineage: Eukaryota; Metazoa; Chordata; Mammalia; Primates; Hominidae. The record is from RNAcentral.